RNAcentral lists this ribosomal RNA (245 nucleotides) under uncultured bacterium. RNAcentral's name for it is "partial 16S ribosomal RNA". It matches the Rfam family "Bacterial small subunit ribosomal RNA", at positions 63 to 334 of the family's 1533-position model. The record is from RNAcentral.
CGAACGGGCUUCUUCGGAAGUCAGUGGCAGACGGGUGAGUAACACGUGGGAACGUGCCCUUCGGUUCGGAAUAACUCAGGGAAACUUGAGCUAAUACCGGAUACGCCCUUAUGGGGAAAGGUUUACUGCCGAAGGAUCGGCCCGCGUCUGAUUAGCUUGUUGGUGGGGUAACGGCCUACCAAGGCGACGAUCAGUAGCUGGUCUGAGAGGAUGAUCAGCCACACUGGGACUGAGACACGGCCCAG